UACGUAGGGGGCAAGCGUUAUCCGGAAUUACUGGGUGUAAAGGGAGAGUAGGCGGCAAGGUAAGCGAUAUGUGAAAGCCUUAGGCUUAACCUGAGGAUUGCAUAACGAACUAUCUAGCUAGAGUACAGGAGAGGAAAGCGGAAUUCUUAGUGUAGCGGUGAAAUGCGUAGAUAUUAGGAAGAACACCAGUGGCGAAGGCGGCUUUCUGGACUGAAACUGACGCUGAGGCUCGAAAGCGUGGGGAGCG
This 247-nucleotide ribosomal RNA is filed under the name uncultured bacterium. RNAcentral describes it as "partial 16S ribosomal RNA". It matches the Rfam family "Bacterial small subunit ribosomal RNA", at positions 524 to 770 of the family's 1533-position model. The record is from RNAcentral.